CUGGGGAGUACGGCCGCAAGGCUGAAACUCAAAGGAAUUGACGGGGGCCCGCACAAGCGGAGGAACAUGUGGUUUAAUUCGAUGAUACGCGAGGAACCUUACCCGGGCUCGAACGGCAGCUGAAUAUGCCAGAGAUGGUAUAGUCUUCGGACAGUUGUCGAGGUGCUGCAUGGUUGUCGUCAGCUCGUGCUGUGAAGUGUCGGCUUAAGUGCCAUAACGAGCGCAACCCUUGCCUUCAGUUGCCAUCAGGUAAAGCUGGGGACUCUGGAGGGACUGCCACCGCAAGGUGCGAGGAAGGGGGGGAUGACGUCAAAUCAGCACGGCCCUUACGUCCGGGGCGACACACGUGUUACAAUGGCAGGUACAGAGGGGUGCUACCGGGUGACCGGAUGCCGAUCUCGAAAACCUGUCCCAGUUCGGACUGGAGUCUGCAACCCGACUCCACGAAGUUGGAUUCGCUAGUAAUCGCGCAUCAGCCAUGGCGCGGUGAAUACGUUCCC
Molecule: ribosomal RNA, 500 nt
Filed under: uncultured bacterium
Lineage: Bacteria
Description: bacterial SSU rRNA
Rfam family: Bacterial small subunit ribosomal RNA
Source: RNAcentral